CCAAAACUAAACAUAACAAAGAUUACACCAUUUAAACUAAAACAAGAAAGGGAGAGAUCACUAAAGCUUCUGAAACAUACAACCCGUGAACAGAAGUGUGAAGGACAGAGGUACAGAAGCUGGAAUUAACGAGAAAGCAUUAACAGUCGAUUUAUUGAGAUGCCAGAAGAGCUCCAAGAUAAGUUCCACAAAAGAAUACGAGCAACCAAUCCAUCACCCAAGAACAAGCUUCAUUUGAGGAAAGCCACAAGAUAACAGCUCUCCAUCCGAGCAGCUAACGAAGAACACGGUUGACAAUCAACUACUCAAGACCGAAUGCAAUUGAGCUAAGGUUCCACAAUCUCUUACCAAGAAAUCCCUACCACUUGUUCAUUCAGUUCUUUUUAUCGUUGUUUUUAUUUAUGCUACUAUCUUGCUUUUAUCUAUUUACAAGAGCAAAAGCAUAAACUACGUACCAAAAACAUUCCUAAUUAUUCCAAGUGCGGUAAAAAAAUCAAUUCCUCGAUAAAAAUAGCUACGUAUGAUAUGGAGGCGGAGGCAUAACAAGAUUUUAUUUGGGUCAUAAUUAAUUAAUUAUAGGUAAAAAAGACAUGCAUAAGAUUUGAAACUUACAGGGGCCAAAAAAAAAAUUUAACCAUCUCAUACAACAAUGAAACUAAGUCUGAAUUUUAUAAGGAAAAACUAUACCACAAACUUGAUAGAUUUAUCUUUAAAGGAUGAUUAUUUUUUAUAAAUACCUUAACUUUGUGAUGUAAACUGAUCCUCCCAAAUUCUUUAUAAAGUUUAAAAAUUAUUGAUAGAAAUUUAUAAACUCAAUCACACUCUUUAAAUACUAAACCCUGAAAAAUAGUCACUAAACUAUAAACUCAAAUGUUAAUAUAUUUUUGAAUCAAAGAUCAAAAGGUAAAAGAUGAACUGGAGACAUAGAAUUGUUUCUUCAUCUCUUUGUUCCUCCGUCGUCGCCGCAUUUUUUUGGCGGUUGCUGGAGCCCUUUCAUGUGUCAUUUUUUCUGACUCUUCUCAUUUUCUCUCUGUGCUCUCUCUCUCUGUUUUCAGCUCUUUUACUUUAUUUUGUGGAGUAAGUGUGUUCUUCCAAAACUCGCUGGUUCAGAUCUGACGGUCUCAGUUUAGAUCUGGACUGUGUUUGAUGUUAUCAGUGUUGCUAAUUUCGGUUCGCUGCUUGUUGUGUCCGGUGGUUUUUUCCUUGCUUCGGUGGAGUUAUCUUAGAGUUUGUGGUGUGUGAGGCAUCAAGUUGUCUCUCAUCGGGUUCUCUCUCCCAGUGUGCUGAGAAUUUUGAGAGUUGAUGACUGCUAAGACUCCUAUUGGAGUGAUGGUUAUGUCUUUAAUUUUUGGCUCCUUGUGGAGCGACGGUUUUGUCAAUUUUGUCGAUUAUUUUAAUCUUCCACAAUUGUUUCGACGGCAUAUUAUUUUUCCUUUCCAUUUAAUAAGUCAAUGGUUACUGUUACGCACAAACUGAUUUUUUGAGUAAGAUCUCCAAAAACUGAGUUCUUUUCAAGCCGUUAUUGUGGUUAAAAAAAAGAUAUAUGCAGUUUCAAAAGAUCGUAUCAUCUUUGAAGUCUCUUUAGUUCAUGCUCGAGAUGCUAUCUUGUACCUAACGCAUUACCCUCACUUGCAAAAUAAAGUGGAAGCGAUAAGGUAGCACUCAAUCAAUCCAAUAUUGGUUGUUCAAACAUACAUUGCUGAGGAAAAUCAAGUGGCCAUGAAAAUUGCAACUACUAGAGACCACAGAUCAUUGUCAUACUUAGAUGGUCCCUUAGCUGUAACAACUACUUGGUGAAAACGCUGAUCAAUACUUUGAGAUCUAGUACAAAAGGUUGUAUGUUGGUUGAUACUAUAUUAGUCCUUGGCGGUUUUGAGUUCUUUAUGUCAUAAACCGGUAAUUUUAUUUUAGUUUAUUUAUUCUUUUAGAAGCUUUUUUUUAAGAACUUUGCAUUUUUGUGGUUUGAAACUAAACAGUGUUGAAUUUUUUAAUUAAAUGUAUUUUUGAAAAAUAAUAUCCAAUAUGUGGUAUUUCAAACAAUUUUUUAUUUUUUAAUUUUCUUAUUUCAUAGAGAUCAACCGACCCCUUCACACCUAGGUGGCUCAAGUUUCAUCCAAUCCGACGGUCUCCAUUGAGUAAAAAAACUGCUUCUUCUUUAAAGAAUCCUCGCAAUCUAAACCGAGUUUAUUAACAAAUUAAAAAUCUGAAGUGAGCUUUUGAUAAGUUUUUUGGGAUUCCAACUUAAAAUCGCUCUGAUACCAUGAUAAGUUUUUUGGGCUUCCAACUUAAAACUUAUUGGUGAUAAGUGAAGUGGCCCAAAUUUUUUAUAUAUUACUCUAGUCUUUUACAUAUUUUUAAUAUGGGUCUUAUCUCUAACAGUUUUCAUGGUUGGGCUCGAGUUGGAUCAUAUAAUCAGGAGAGGCUAUCCACCAUGUUACGAGCGAC
RNAcentral lists this long non-coding RNA (2445 nucleotides) under Brassica napus (rape). Its description in RNAcentral is "long non-coding RNA (BNAP_LNC001766)". The record is from RNAcentral. Lineage: Eukaryota; Viridiplantae; Streptophyta; Magnoliopsida; Brassicales; Brassicaceae.